UGGCCAGUUGCUCAAUGGUUAGAGCGUUGGCCUGCCGAUCCAAGGGCCUGGGGUUCGAUUCCUGGUCAA
RNAcentral lists this transfer RNA (69 nucleotides) under Myotis lucifugus (little brown bat). It matches the Rfam family "tRNA". From Rfam's summary of the family: Transfer RNA (tRNA) molecules are approximately 80 nucleotides in length. Their secondary structure includes four short double-helical elements and three loops (D, anti-codon, and T loops). Further hydrogen bonds mediate the characteristic L-shaped molecular structure. tRNAs have two regions of fundamental functional importance: the anti-codon, which is responsible for specific mRNA codon recognition, and the 3' end, to which the tRNAs corresponding amino acid is attached (by aminoacyl-tRNA synthetases). tRNAs cope with the degeneracy of the genetic code in two manners: having more than one tRNA (with a specific anti-codon) for a particular amino acid; and 'wobble' base-pairing, i.e. permitting non-standard base-pairing at the 3rd anti-codon position. Lineage: Eukaryota; Metazoa; Chordata; Mammalia; Chiroptera; Vespertilionidae. The record is from Rfam by way of RNAcentral.